AACGAACGCUGGCGGCAUGCCUAACACAUGCAAGUCGAACGAGACCUUCGGGUCUAGUGGCGCACGGGUGCGUAACGCGUGGGAACCUGCCCUUAGGUUCGGAAUAACUCCCCGACAGGGGUGCUAAUACCGGAUAAUGUCUUCGGACCAAAGAUUUAUCGCCUUUGGAUGGGCCCGCGUUGGAUUAGCUAGUUGGUAGGGUAAAAGCCUACCAAGGCGACGAUCCAUAGCUGGUCUGAGAGGAUGAUCAGCCACACUGGGACUGAGACACGGCCCAGACUCCUACGGGAGGCAGCAGUGGGGAAUAUUGGACAAUGGGCGAAAGCCUGAUCCAGCAAUGACGCGUGAGUGAUGAAGGCCUUAGGGAUGUAAAGCUCUUUUAACCGGGAUGAUAAUGACAGUACCGGGAGAAUAAGCUCCGGCUAACUCCGUG
Molecule: ribosomal RNA, 433 nt
Filed under: uncultured bacterium
Lineage: Bacteria
Description: partial 16S ribosomal RNA
Rfam family: Bacterial small subunit ribosomal RNA
Source: RNAcentral